CCGCGAGGCGUCAGCGCCGCGCCCCGUGCACACGCACCGGGACCCGCCCUCCGUCCGCCAUUUUUUUUCACCACCUCGGCCAGGAGUCGAGAGCCGAACAUCAACAAGGCGUAAGACCUCUGGAAGAGAGCUGACCGCCCGGGACCGAAACGAUUCUGCCGUAACCGAGCCCCGCCUGAGCUGCUAGCCGAACCGCUUUCGGACCCGCAGCUGCACAGCACGCCUUUUCCGAGUGUGAAUACGUGUUGAGGGCCGCCAUUUUUGUUCCUCUCUAGUAGUCGGGGGUGGGGGCAGAAGGGAAGGCAUUUCGGGCGCCUUUCGGCCGACUCGGCUCCGUAUUGUUGUACAAUCAGCACCGAGUCGCUGUUCCGCUGUAGCGGCAUGGAGGUCGCUGGGCUGGAGUAAGCCGCUCCGACCGGGGACACCUUGUGUCAUUAUUUGCUACUUUUCUCUUCUUUUUCGGAAGAGGUGCGUAAAAGGGGAAGCUGAGCCAGGGUGGAGGGAGCGUCCCCGUCCCCGCAGCGCGGCGUCUGGGGCUCUGGAUGACGCCUGAAGCCGGACAGCGCUGAGCCGCAGACGGGCUAUCAGUCCGCUUCCAUGGGGCGCCCCGGCGUGUGAUAUAUCCAGUCCCAUUCCGCUACUAUUUCAUUUGCCUUAGCGUUUUGCGCUCAUCCCCCCUCCUAAGCAUGUCUUCGGCGCGGUUCGAUUCCUCGGACCGGUCCAGUUGGUAUUUCGGCCCGGUGUCGCGGCAGGAGGCACAGAACCGCCUGCAGAGCCAGCGGCACGGCACCUUCCUGGUGCGGGACUCGUCCACCUGCCCAGGCGACUACGUGCUGUCGGUUUCGGAGAACUCCAAGGUGUCGCACUACAUCAUCAACUCGCUACCCGGCAAGAGGUUCAAGAUCGGGGACCAGGAGUUCGAGCACCUGGCCGCGCUGCUCGACUUCUACAAGAUCCACUACCUGGACACCACCACCCUGAUCGAACCGGCCAGCAGGUACCCCAGCGGGCUUCCCGGGGCCCCGCCCACUGUCUCCGACGACAGCCUGGAGUAUGUGCGUACCCUGUAUGACUUCACCGGCAAUGAUGCAGAGGACCUGCCCUUUCGCAAGGGGGAGAUUCUGGUAAUCCUGGACAAGCCGGAGGAGCAGUGGUGGAGUGCCCGGAACAAAGAUGGCCGUGUGGGCAUGAUCCCCGUGCCCUAUGUGGAGAAGCUGCCCCGGCCAGCUGCCCACCCCGGUACCCUGCCCGCCGGGCACACCUCCCGCAUCUCCAACAGCUAUGGCGUCCCGGAGCCUGCCCACGCCUAUGCGCAGCCACAGACGCCCUCGCCACUGCCACAGGGCCCUGGACCCUUGCCCUCCAUGCAGAACGGCCCCGUCAUGGCCAAGGCCAUCCAGAAGCGGGUGCCCUGUGCCUACGACAAAACUGCACUGGCGCUAGAGGUGGGGGACAUUGUCAAGGUGACACGGAUGAACAUCAGUGGCCAAUGGGAGGGUGAGGUCAACGGCCGGAGGGGGCUCUUUCCAUUCACGCACGUGAAGAUCAUGGACCCCCAGGAUCCCGAUGAGAAUGAGUGAUGGGCCCCACCUCCUGCACCACCAACCCCUCCCUCCACCCUUGUGAUUGGCCAUCUCUCGAACUUUACCUUCUGGGGCAUCUCGCCACCCCUUGCCCCUGCCAAGCCCACUAGCCGCACACAUCUCCACCUGGAAACAGGAACACUUUUGAUUGGAUGGCAGCUGAGGAGGUCACAUACAUUUUUUUAAGUGAACAAGCUGUUUUUUUCAUCUUGCUACCUUUCCUAAUGGUGCUGGCAGCGGCCUGGGCUGAGGCUCUUGGGAAGACAGAUGACAUUCCUGGAAGCUGGGGUGGACCUCAGAUGUGACUGCUUGGGUUUUCUGUACUGUAAUGGCUGAAAUAGCUGAACGUCACUGUCAGAUCCCCCUGAGGUGGGUUAGGGGAUGCGGUGCUUGUGUAGAUCAGUGAAUGUCGUCCAAACGCACUGCACCAGCUUUUCCUCCGCUGCUAAUCCCGCUCGCUCUGCUGACUCUGCAGUUGAUGAGAGGGAGCUCCUCCAGGUGUGAACUCUUCAGAGAGGAAAGCAAUAACUAUUUUCUUUAGGUGAGAUGGUAAACUUUCACACAAAUGUCUGAGGAAAUGGUCUUUAUUGGGAGAAGAGAAGUAACAUUUUGCAGAAAUAUAACCAAUGAAAGGCAGCAAGUGAGCCACAAGUUCAGGUAAAGCACUACAAAAACACACCUGAAGAAUACUUGUUACGCCACAAGGAGUCAAAGUUGAUGUCCUUGGUAUAGUCCACAUCGGGGGCUCCGACCCGGUACAAAUGGCAUAAUCCCCUCCUGUUCUCAGACCUGAGAAUGGGGGUGACCUUUGAACCCUGCUCCUCAUUUUAACAAGGUAGAGUCACAUCAGGCCUCAUUUACAUCCUCUGAAGGCAGUAUAAUUAACUGUGAAAUUCAAAUUAAGCUUUUAAUGCUUAAAGACAAAAAUAACUUUACAAUAUCCACCCCUUUUGCAGACCUGCUCUAUGCUCUUAGCCUGGUGUCCACUCACACUCCUAACCCUAAUCCAUAACCACAGUACACUAAACGCACUUCACUGCUACCCGCUCACUUAACAUGCAUGUCUUUGGUGCCUGGAAGCAAAGUGAAGGACAGAAAAUCCCUGAAGAGCUCAACACAGCUCCAGACCCCCUGGUGCGCUGUGAACACGGCGCCAUCUAGCGGCUCAUCGAGGAAUUUACCACGGUCUUCACUGACAUGGCAACGUUUGGGCCUGAGUGACCUUAAGCGAUGUUCGAGUUUAACACCGUGUUCACUAGGUUUCCUUACUGCCUGAGGUGACACUUCUUUUGUCCGCUAGUCCGCAUUCCAGAGUGAAACACAGAUUUUCUUUUUGCCGUUUUCUAUUCAUCUUUCUUAAAAUUGCACUUCCAGGAAGGGGCAGCAUGGGCCACAGCUUGGACAGGAUGCUGGUACGGUGUAGGGUGCAUAUACUAUGGCAAUUUAUGAUAAUUAAUGUAGAUGUACGAGUGCAGGAGCAAACCCAUGUGACUUAGAGAGAAUGUGAACCGCACACACAUACACACUCACACGGAGAGUAGAGGUGAGCUUUGACCCCAAACCCUGGAGGUUCAAGGAGUUUGCUAAAUACUGAGCCAUUGCGACCUACCAGCCCCUGUUAAUAUAUCUUUCUGUUUACAAUCAUGUAUUAAAUGCAUUAUGUCACACUAUCUGUAUUCCUGGAGUUUGUAUGGUAUACCUCUUGUGUGUCCCACACUGCCGGGGACAGUCAUGUGACACAGACCGUCUGACCCUGUACAGGAGAAGUGGUUUAAAGUUUGAUGGAAUUCAGUAACUACUAUGCAUAAGCAUAUCGAUAAAACAGGUUUAUGGCUGUAGACUAAACAACGGACUCAAGCAAUCAUGUACAGUUUACCCUUAUACAUCGCGGGGGCUUGGGGCGCAGACCCCACGCGAUCUGGAAAAAUGUCGCACCUGGCGAGAAAAGAUACGCGAAACUCAAGAUAGAAAGGUCAUUGCAAGAUCACUGUGAGAUAUCACUGAGAGACUGCCGUAAACACAAACGGCGUCCUCCAAACCAGCACCGUACAGGCAUUUUAUGCAUUU
Molecule: non-coding RNA, 3650 nt
Organism: Paramormyrops kingsleyae
Lineage: Eukaryota; Metazoa; Chordata; Actinopteri; Osteoglossiformes; Mormyridae
Source: RefSeq, a predicted model, not a curated record